RNAcentral lists this transfer RNA (48 nucleotides) under Neuracanthus umbraticus. RNAcentral's name for it is "partial tRNA-Gly". It matches the Rfam family "tRNA", at positions 24 to 71 of the family's 71-position model. Rfam says of the family: Transfer RNA (tRNA) molecules are approximately 80 nucleotides in length. Their secondary structure includes four short double-helical elements and three loops (D, anti-codon, and T loops). Further hydrogen bonds mediate the characteristic L-shaped molecular structure. tRNAs have two regions of fundamental functional importance: the anti-codon, which is responsible for specific mRNA codon recognition, and the 3' end, to which the tRNAs corresponding amino acid is attached (by aminoacyl-tRNA synthetases). tRNAs cope with the degeneracy of the genetic code in two manners: having more than one tRNA (with a specific anti-codon) for a particular amino acid; and 'wobble' base-pairing, i.e. permitting non-standard base-pairing at the 3rd anti-codon position. Lineage: Eukaryota; Viridiplantae; Streptophyta; Magnoliopsida; Lamiales; Acanthaceae. The record is from RNAcentral.
CCCUAGCCUUCCAAGCUAACGACGCGGGUUCGAUUCCCGCUACCCGCU